GAUUAUAAUUUAAGGUCUGGCCUGCCCACUGAGUAUUUGAAUGGCCGUGGUAUUUUGACCGUGCUAAGGUAGCAUAAUCAUUAGUUUUUUAAUUAAAAACUGGAAUGAAGGGUUAGAUAAGAAAAUAACUGUCUCUAUUUAAAUUUAUUAGAAUUUUAUUUUUAAGUUAAAAAGCUUAAUUAUUGUUAAAAGACGAGAAGACCCUAUAGAGUUUAAUUAUAGUAUAAAUUUUUUAUUUUAGUAUUUAUUUAUUAAUUUUUUCUAUAAUUUAAUUGGGGUGAUUAAAAAAUUUAGUAAACUUUUUUUGUAUUUUAACAUUAAUUUAUGAAUCAUUGAUCCAGUUAUUUUGAUUAUAAGAUAAAAUUACCUUAGGGAUAACAGCGUAAUUUUUUUAGAAAGUUCAAAUUGAAAAAAAAGAUUGCGACCUCGAUGUUGGAUUAAAGUUAAUUUUUGGUGUAGAAGCUGAAAUAUUAGGUC
This 477-nucleotide ribosomal RNA is filed under the name Gonioctena pallida. RNAcentral's name for it is "partial 16S ribosomal RNA". The record is from RNAcentral. Lineage: Eukaryota; Metazoa; Arthropoda; Insecta; Coleoptera; Chrysomelidae.